GUUUUCUCCAAGCAUAUGGAGGUGGAUAACAGAGAAAACGAGACAGGCGCAUGUUCCUCCAGGCUUUGAGCAGAAGUUUACUUGCUCUGCUCAUAGCUGAGAAUUUCUUCGUUUUCAUUCUCUUCUUCUAUUCCACUGGCUUCUGUGUUCCUUGUCGCAUCAUGCACGUUUUUGUUUCCAGUAACUACUGUCUUUAAUGAGCUAAGGAAAGCCUCUACUUCUCUAGAGUCUUGUUGGUCACCGAGCCAUUUACUUAUGCUUGACACCAGAUGGGGUUUUG
This 280-nucleotide unclassified non-coding RNA is filed under the name Hevea brasiliensis (rubber tree). The record is from RNAcentral. Lineage: Eukaryota; Viridiplantae; Streptophyta; Magnoliopsida; Malpighiales; Euphorbiaceae.